UACGGAGGGCGCAAGCGUUGUUCGGAAUCACUGGGCGUAAAGCGCGCGUAGGCGGCCGGGUAAGUCAGAUGUGAAAUCCCGAGGCUCAACCUCGGAACUGCAUUCGAAACUGGUCGUCUUGAGACCAGGAGAGGAUGGCGGAAUUCCCGGUGUAGGGGUGAAAUUCGUAGAUAUCCGGUGGAACACCAGUGGCGAAGGCGGCUAACUGGACGGGUACUGACGCUGAGGUGCGAAAGUGUGGGGAGCAAACAGG
This 253-nucleotide ribosomal RNA is filed under the name uncultured bacterium. RNAcentral describes it as "partial 16S ribosomal RNA". It matches the Rfam family "Bacterial small subunit ribosomal RNA", at positions 524 to 776 of the family's 1533-position model. The record is from RNAcentral.